Molecule: ribosomal RNA, 389 nt
Filed under: uncultured bacterium
Lineage: Bacteria
Description: bacterial SSU rRNA
Rfam family: Bacterial small subunit ribosomal RNA
Source: RNAcentral
GACGAACGCUGGCGGCGUGCUUAACACAUGCAAGUCGAGCGGUAAGGCCCUUUCGGGGGUACACGAGCGGCGAACGGGUGAGUAACACGUGGGUGACCUGCCCUCAGCUCUGGGAUAAGCCUGGGAAACUGGGUCUAAUACCGGAUAUGACUCCAUGACGCAUGUUGUGGGGUGGAAAGCCUUGUGCGGCUGAGGAUGGGCCCGCGGCCUAUCAGCUUGUUGGUGGGGUGAUGGCCUACCAAGGCGACGACGGGUAGCCGGCCUGAGAGGGCGACCGGCCACACUGGGACUGAGACACGGCCCAGACUCCUACGGGAGGCAGCAGUGGGGAAUCUUGCGCAAUGGGCGAAAAGCCUGACGCAGCGACGCCGCGUGAGGGAUGACGGCCU